AAUGAAAAGUUCCACAGAGAAAAACAGUGAGGAAAUCAAUAUUUAUGUCCUGAGAGAAUGACAUGAAUUGAAUGAAUUAAAAUAAAGCAUGGGACUUCGCAGUGAACACUGGUUGUAAAACCUAAUGUUGAAUGAGUACUCAUUAACUGAGUACCUUUCAUUGCAUGUAAAUGAAGACAAAUUUCCAGAAAAAUAUAAACAUAAAAGAUUCUCAGCAGGCUCUUCAGUCUCCUCAUGUCCUUCUCAGGGCAGUGAAAUGGAUCAAGUUGGCAGAAGGCACAGCAUGAAAAAUCAGAUUGUUGAUUAUAGAAAAGUAGAUUUCAUGGUUGUCCAGCCCCACAGUUCCUGCAGUCUGUGACACCAACCUCAGGUAAUGAGGCCAGAUCCAGAUUCACCAGGUUCAAGGAGAAGACUAUGUGGAAAUCCCUGGACUGUAAACCUCACUCAUAUGGGUCUACAUAAAGCAUAGGUAUCUUUCUCCAACAGCAAGCUUUGGAAAACUAGAACCGUUCCACAAUCUAAACUUUCUUAGAUAUAUCCAAAUAACACAGGAAUGAAUCAAAUGUGUAGAGCUGCUGAACACAGCAUAAUGGGUGUUGGGUUCUCUGCAGUCUGUUAGCAGCAGCUUUCAUAAAAACCCUUAGGCAGUUAUUGUGCUUGACGGGUUCAGUUUGGAAGAAAACCUCAGAAAUUUGGCAUUGUUGGAGUAAUUUUGCAUCAAUAUUCAGCACAGAAUAGAACACAGUGUAAUUUGGCAGAAGAACAGCACUAUGCAUUUUAUUUCAGGAUAUUUCAUUAUGUAUCUGUGAGAAUUUUAAAAUAAAAUUGGCUUUUACAAUGAAAUAAAAGUGUAC
Molecule: long non-coding RNA, 854 nt
Filed under: Cyanistes caeruleus (blue tit)
Lineage: Eukaryota; Metazoa; Chordata; Aves; Passeriformes; Paridae
Description: lncRNA (ENSCCEG00000010167.1)
Source: RNAcentral